Long non-coding RNA from Chrysemys picta bellii (western painted turtle), 1159 nucleotides. The record is from Ensembl. Lineage: Eukaryota; Metazoa; Chordata; Testudines; Emydidae.
AGAAGUCACUAUAGGCGAAUGCUGGAGCUCCCAGGCUCUUGCUACAGGAGUAAAACUGUGAGUGCAGUUGUCUGUUUUCUUUCUCACUCUCUUUGUUAUUCUGUUCCCGCAGGUCUCUCCUUCUCCCUUCCUGUUACAGACAUACAGUUCUCUGUCAUACAGCCAGGAUCAUAACCGAACUGUGUCAUUGGAUGGUUAGUAUUCCGUGAUUCUUUCAGCUCUCUCCUGGACAGAUUUUUCUGCUCCACCAGUGACCCAAACAGCAGCUGACAUUUAACAAGCUAAGAACGCAGAAGGCUCAGAGCUCAGAAUGCUCCAGCCUCGCACUCUGGCCUGUGAACUUCAGCCGGCAUUGGGAGUCAGUGGAGUCUCAUGGAAAGAAAUUCAUCCCCCUGACUCUAAACAGCAUCUCCUAUACCUGCUACAGUAAGAUGACCUGGCUGGUGCACCCAGGGAUGUUACCCACAGCCCGAAGGGCUUUCCUUUCCAUAAUUAAAUCUGAGGAGAAGGGGGUGGGAGGGGUGUUUGGCAGAGAGAGGGAAUUGUCAGCAUGUCCUGCCAGUGAAAAGAAGGGACUGAAAUGAAAAAGUUCCUUCUGGCAUGCGUAAUCAAAAACUAAUCACUGCUGCAUAUAACUCGCUGUUGUUUCUGUGCAAGUGUGAGCCAGGGGAGUGCAGGCUGCUUGGCUAAAGGACAGAGCCCCCGCCCCCAACUGUCUCUCAGUGGGAGGGAAGUGUGUGGAGGGGAGGAUUAAUCCACUGUCGCUGUGGAUUAAUGCUGACAGGAGGGCUGGACUGCGACAAGAUAGAUGACAGGGUUACACGGCAAUGCGUGAGAACCCUGCCCCUUUCAAGCUAGCACUGUUUUCCUUGCGUGACUGCUUUCCUUCUCUCCUCCAGCCGCUUCCACCUUGUGACCGGCUCCCUUAACUCAUUCUCUUCCAUCCAUGGGGAGAGAGAGUGCACCGAGACUAGAGGAGGCAGGAGGGGAAAUCUGGCCCAGGGUUUAGAAGUGGAACAAGAUGCGGGAUGCCUGCUUUGUUCAGAGGGCAGCUUCUUUCACAAGAGUGGUUUGGUAUGUUAGCACCACUGUGAGCAUAUUAUAGAGCACUGGAAGGGAAAACAAACUCCCUGAUCCUACCUUCCAGCUGCACAGCGCU